Long non-coding RNA from Passer montanus (Eurasian tree sparrow), 306 nucleotides. RefSeq lists it as uncharacterized. The transcript is spliced from 3 exons. The record is from RefSeq and is a predicted model, not a curated record. NCBI's taxonomy places the organism in Eukaryota, Metazoa, Chordata, Aves, Passeriformes, Passeridae.
CUUCCCUCUUGUGCUGGCACAGCUGUGCACACCUUCACCUGACGGAGCCCAUCGGGGCACCAAUCCUGCUCCAAGCACCUGGCACAAGGGAAGGACACCACAGCAACAAGGAACUAGAAUCCUAAAUUAGACACAAUGCUUCAUGGAAGCCAAAUAUGAGAUCUGAAGUGAGAAGUAGCAUGAUCAAACAAAUGACCUGACUGCUGCUCACAUGUGAAAAACCCAGCACUUACAUGAGAAGACCUCAACCAACUCAAGGACGUGUGUGCAUUUGUGGACAGCACUUACUUCAGCAUCUAAUUAUCC